CCAGGUCAUGUGUCUUCUCAGUCAUGUUGACACUGGUCUACUACCAGGUCAUGUGACUUCUCAGUCAUGUUGACACUGGUCCACUACCAGGUCAUGUGUCUUCUCAGUCAUGUUGACACUGGUCUACUACCAGGUCAUGUGUCUUCUCAGUCAUGUUGACACUGGUCUACUACCAGGUCAUGUGUCUUCUCAGUCAUGUUGACACUGGUCUACUACCAGGUCAUGUGUCUUCUCAGUCAUGUUGACACUGGUCUACUACCAGGUCAUGUGUCUUCUCAGUCAUGUUGAGACUGGUCUACUACCA
This is a long non-coding RNA of Oncorhynchus keta (chum salmon), 304 nucleotides long. RefSeq lists it as uncharacterized. Lineage: Eukaryota; Metazoa; Chordata; Actinopteri; Salmoniformes; Salmonidae. The record is from RefSeq and is a predicted model, not a curated record. The transcript has 3 exons.